UACCCUAUUAUUCAAAAUUUAAAUAAAAAUACCAGNNNNNAGUAGUAAGAGUUAUGAUCUUGAAACUUAAAAAAUUUGGCGGUAUUUUAGUCUAUUCAGAGGAACCUGUAAUGUAAUCGAUAGUCCACGUUGUAUCUUACUUAAUUUUGUUUGUCAGUUUGUAUAUCGCCGUUAUUUGAAAAUUUUAUAAGAAUAAUAAUUUUCAUAAUUUUUUAUUAAAAAAUAUAUCAGGUCAAGGUGCAGCUUAUGAUUAAGUUUUAUAUGGGUUACAAUAACAAUAGUUAUACGGAUUAAUUUUUUAAAUUAAAAUAUGAAGGUGGAUUUGAUAGUAAAUUUUUAAAGAUUGUAAAUUUGAUUUUAGCUCUAAAAUAUGUACAUAUCGCCCGUCACUCUUGUUAUUAAUAUAAGAUAAGUCGUAACAUAGUAGAUGUACCGGAAGGUGUAUCUAGAAUGACAAUUUAAAGCUUAUAAGUAAAGCAUUUCAUUUACAUUGAAGAGAUUAUUGUGCAAUUCAAUAUAAAUUGAUGAUAUAUAAUUAUUAAUUUUUUUUUUGUAUUUUAAAAUUAUUAAAAAUAAUUAUAUAGUAUUAUUGUUUUAGUAUUUUUUAUAGAAUAAAUAAUUUUUAUUAUAGUGAAUUAGGUAUUGUGAGAGAAUUUUGAAAUAAUKGAAAAAUAUACAUUUAAAAAGAAGAUUUAAUUUAUUGUACCUUGNGGUAUCAGGG
Molecule: ribosomal RNA, 721 nt
Filed under: Thambemyia pagdeni
Lineage: Eukaryota; Metazoa; Arthropoda; Insecta; Diptera; Dolichopodidae
Description: partial 12S ribosomal RNA
Source: RNAcentral